GGUUCCAUAGUGUAGCGGUGAGCACGUCUGCUUUACAUGCAGAAGAUCUGGGUUCGUGCCCCAGUAGAGCCA
Molecule: transfer RNA, 72 nt
Filed under: Pteropus alecto (black flying fox)
Lineage: Eukaryota; Metazoa; Chordata; Mammalia; Chiroptera; Pteropodidae
Rfam family: tRNA
About the family: Transfer RNA (tRNA) molecules are approximately 80 nucleotides in length. Their secondary structure includes four short double-helical elements and three loops (D, anti-codon, and T loops).
Source: Rfam by way of RNAcentral